UGGGGAAUAUUGCACAAUGGGGGAAACCCUGAUGCAGCGACGCCGCGUGGAGGAAGAAGGUCUUCGGAUUGUAAACUCCUGUUGUUGAGGAAGAUAAUGACGGUACUCAACAAGGAAGUGACGGCUAACUACGUGCCAGCAGCCGCGGUAAAACGUAGGUCACAAGCGUUGUCCGGAAUUACUGGGUGUAAAGGGAGCGCAGGCGGGAGAACAAGUUGGAAGUGAAAUCCAUGGGCUUCAACCCAUGAACUGCUUUCAAAACUGUUUUUCUUGAGUAGUGCAGAGGUAGGCGGAAUUCCCGGUGUAGCGGUGGAAUGCGUAGAUAUCGGGAGGAACACCAGUGGCGAAGGCGGCCUACUGGGCACCAACUGACGCUGAGGCUCGAAAGUGUGGGUAGC
Molecule: ribosomal RNA, 398 nt
Filed under: uncultured bacterium
Lineage: Bacteria
Description: bacterial SSU rRNA
Rfam family: Bacterial small subunit ribosomal RNA
Source: RNAcentral